GAUGAACGCUGGCGGCGUGCCUAAUACAUGCAAGUCGAGCGGUAAGGCCACUUCGGUGGUACACGAGCGGCGGACGGCUGAGUAACACGUAGGAACGUACCCCCAACUGAGGGAUAAGCACCGGAAACGGUGUCUAAUACCGCAUUUGCUCUUCGGAGUAAAGCUACGGCGGUUUGGGAACGGCCUGCGCAUGAUUAGCUAGUUGGUGAGGUAAUGGCUCACCAAGGCGACGAUCAUUAGCUGGUCUGAGAGGAUGAUCAGCCAGACUGGGACUGAGAACGGCCCAGACUCCUACGGGAGGCAGCAGUAGGGAAUUUUCCACAAUGGGGGCAACCCUGAUGGAGCAACGCCGCGUGCAGGAUGAAGGCUUUCGGGUCGUAAACUGCUUUUAUCUGUGAAGAUUAUGACGGUAGCAGAUGAAUAAGGAUCGGCUAACUCCGUGCCAGCAGCCGCGGUAA
This 458-nucleotide ribosomal RNA is filed under the name uncultured bacterium. RNAcentral's name for it is "partial 16S ribosomal RNA". It matches the Rfam family "Bacterial small subunit ribosomal RNA", at positions 28 to 523 of the family's 1533-position model. The record is from RNAcentral.